GCUGAUUUAGUUUUUUAGAAUGUCUGUUUUGUAAUCAGUUGGGUUGUUCAGUUA
This 54-nucleotide transfer RNA is filed under the name Dracunculus medinensis (Guinea worm). RNAcentral describes it as "tRNA-Thr". Lineage: Eukaryota; Metazoa; Nematoda; Chromadorea; Rhabditida; Dracunculidae. The record is from RNAcentral.